AGCUUAGUGGUCAAAGCAUUGGCGCGUAAAGCCAAAGAGCCCGGGUUCGAUUCCCGG
Non-coding RNA from Agrilus planipennis (emerald ash borer), 57 nucleotides. NCBI's taxonomy places the organism in Eukaryota, Metazoa, Arthropoda, Insecta, Coleoptera, Buprestidae. The record is from Rfam.